RNAcentral lists this ribosomal RNA (1445 nucleotides) under Leifsonia antarctica. Its description in RNAcentral is "bacterial SSU rRNA". The record is from RNAcentral. Lineage: Bacteria; Bacillati; Actinomycetota; Actinomycetes; Micrococcales; Microbacteriaceae.
GACGAACGCUGGCGGCGUGCUUAACACAUGCAAGUCGAACGAUGAAGCAGAGCUUGCUCUGUGGAUUAGUGGCGAACGGGUGAGUAACACGUGAGUAACCUGCCCUUGACUCUGGGAUAAGCGUUGGAAACGACGUCUAAUACCGGAUACGACCUUCGGAGGCAUCUCCUGGGGGUGGAAAGAAUWUCGGUCAAGGAUGGACUCGCGGCCUAUCAGGUAGUUGGUGAGGUAAAGGCUCACCAAGCCGACGACGGGUAGCCGGCCUGAGAGGGUGACCGGCCACACUGGGACUGAGACACGGCCCAGACUCCUACGGGAGGCAGCAGUGGGGAAUAUUGCACAAUGGGCGAAAGCCUGAUGCAGCAACGCCGCGUGAGGGACGAAGGCCUUCGGGUUGUAAACCUCUUUUAGUAGGGAAGAAGCGAAAGUGACGGUACCUGCAGAAAAAGCACCGGCUAACUACGUGCCAGCAGCCGCGGUAAUACGUAGGGUGCAAGCGUUGUCCGGAAUUAUUGGGCGUAAAGAGCUCGUAGGCGGUUUGUCGCGUCUGCUGUGAAAACUGGAGGCUCAACCUCCAGCCUGCAGUGGGUACGGGCAGACUAGAGUGCGGUAGGGGAGAUUGGAAUUCCUGGUGUAGCGGUGGAAUGCGCAGAUAUYAGGAGGAACACCGAUGGCGAAGGCAGAUCUCUGGGCCGCUACUGACGCUGAGGAGCGAAAGCWUGGGGAGCGAACAGGAUUAGAUACCCUGGUAGUCCAUGCCGUAAACGUUGGGAACUAGAUGUGGGGACCAUUCCACGGUCUCCGUGUCGCAGCUAACGCAUUAAGUUCCCCGCCUGGGGAGUACGGCCGCAAGGCUAAAACUCAAAGGAAUUGACGGGGGCCCGCACAAGCGGCGGAGCAUGCGGAUUAAUUCGAUGCAACGCGAAGAACCUUACCAAGGCUUGACAUAUACGAGAACGCUGCAGAAAUGUAGAACUCUUUGGACACUCGUAAACAGGUGGUGCAUGGUUGUCGUCAGCUCGUGUCGUGAGAUGUUGGGUUAAGUCCCGCAACGAGCGCAACCCUCGUCCUAUGUUGCCAGCACGUAAUGGUGGGAACUCAUGGGAUACUGCCGGGGUCAACUCGGAGGAAGGUGGGGAUGACGUCAAAUCAUCAUGCCCCUUAUGUCUUGGGCUUCACGCAUGCUACAAUGGCCGGUACAAUGGGCUGCAAUACCGUAAGGUGGAGCGAAUCCCAAAAAGCCGGUCUCAGUUCGGAUUGAGGUCUGCAACUCGACCUCAUGAAGUCGGAGUCGCUAGUAAUCGCAGAUCAGCAACGCUGCGGUGAAUACGUUCCCGGGCCUUGUACACACCGCCCGUCAAGUCAUGAAAGUMRGUAACACCCAACGCCGGUGGCCUAACCCGUAAGGGAGGGAGCUGUCUAAGGUGGGAUCGGUGAUUAGGACU